This 465-nucleotide ribosomal RNA is filed under the name Vreelandella stevensii. RNAcentral's name for it is "partial 16S ribosomal RNA". It matches the Rfam family "Bacterial small subunit ribosomal RNA", at positions 338 to 795 of the family's 1533-position model. Lineage: Bacteria; Pseudomonadati; Pseudomonadota; Gammaproteobacteria; Oceanospirillales; Halomonadaceae. The record is from RNAcentral.
CCUACGGGAGGCUGCAGUGGGGAAUAUUGGACAAUGGGGGCAACCCUGAUCCAGCCAUGCCGCGUGUGUGAAGAAGGCCCUCGGGUUGUAAAGCACUUUCAGUGAGGAAGAACGCCUGGUGGUUAAUACCCAUCAGGAAAGACAUCACUCACAGAAGAAGCACCGGCUAACUCCGUGCCAGCAGCCGCGGUAAUACGGAGGGUGCGAGCGUUAAUCGGAAUUACUGGGCGUAAAGCGCGCGUAGGUGGCUUGAUAAGCCGGUUGUGAGAGCCCCGGGCUCAACCUGGGAACGGCAUCCGGAACUGUCAAGCUAGAGUGCAGGAGAGGAAGGUAGAAUUCCCGGUGUAGCGGUGAAAUGCGUAGAGAUCGGGAGGAAUACCAGUGGCGAAGGCGGCCUUCUGGACUGACACUGACACUGAGGUGCGAAAGCGUGGGUAGCAAACAGGAUUAGAUACCCUUGUAGUC